This 440-nucleotide ribosomal RNA is filed under the name Enterococcus faecalis. RNAcentral describes it as "bacterial SSU rRNA". It matches the Rfam family "Bacterial small subunit ribosomal RNA", at positions 927 to 1361 of the family's 1533-position model. The record is from RNAcentral. Lineage: Bacteria; Bacillati; Bacillota; Bacilli; Lactobacillales; Enterococcaceae.
CGCCACAAAGCGGUGGAGCAUGUGGUUUAAUUCGAAGCAACGCGAAGAACCUUACCAGGUCUUGACAUCCUUUGACCACUCUAGAGAUAGAGCUUUCCCUUCGGGGACAAAGUGACAGGUGGUGCAUGGUUGUCGUCAGCUCGUGUCGUGAGAUGUUGGGUUAAGUCCCGCAACGAGCGCAACCCUUAUUGUUAGUUGCCAUCAUUUAGUUGGGCACUCUAGCGAGACUGCCGGUGACAAACCGGAGGAAGGUGGGGAUGACGUCAAAUCAUCAUGCCCCUUAUGACCUGGGCUACACACGUGCUACAAUGGGAAGUACAACGAGUCGCUANACCGCGAGGUCAUGCAAAUCUCUUAAAGCUUCUCUCAGUUCGGAUUGCAGGCUGCAACUCGCCUGCAUGAAGCCGGAAUCGCUAGUAAUCGCGGAUCAGCACGCCGCG